This 450-nucleotide ribosomal RNA is filed under the name uncultured bacterium. RNAcentral's name for it is "partial 16S ribosomal RNA". It matches the Rfam family "Bacterial small subunit ribosomal RNA", at positions 354 to 796 of the family's 1533-position model. The record is from RNAcentral.
GUGGGGAAUUUUGGACAAUGGGCGAAAGCCUGAUCCAGCCAUGCCGCGUGCAGGAUGAAGGCCUUCGGGUUGUAAACUGCUUUUGUACGGAACGAAAAGACUCCUUCUAAUAAAGGGGGUCCAUGACGGUACCGUAAGAAUAAGCACCGGCCAACUACGUGCCAGCAGCCGCGGUAAUACGUAGGGUGCAAGCGUUAAUCGGAAUUACUGGGCGUAAAGCGUGCGCAGGCGGUUAUAUAAGACAGAUGUGAAAUCCCCGGGCUCAACCUGGGAACUGCAUUUGUGACUGUAUAGCUAGAGUACGGUAGAGGGGGAUGGAAUUCCGCGUGUAGCAGUGAAAUGCGUAGAUAUGCGGAGGAACACCGAUGGCGAAGGCAAUCCCCUGGACCUGUACUGACGCUCAUGCACGAAAGCGUGGGGAGCAAACAGGAUUAGAUACCCGGGUAGUCC